Molecule: ribosomal RNA, 299 nt
Filed under: uncultured bacterium
Lineage: Bacteria
Description: partial 16S ribosomal RNA
Rfam family: Bacterial small subunit ribosomal RNA
Source: RNAcentral
UUUGCCUACGGGACGCAGCAGUGGGGGAUAUUGCACAAUGGGGGGAACCCUGAUGCAGCGACGCCGCGUGGGUGAAGAAGCGCCUCGGCGCGUAAAGCCCUGUCAGCAGGGAAGAAAAUGACGGUACCUGAAGAAGAAGCCCCGGCUAACUACGUGCCAGCAGCCGCGGUAAUACGUAGGGUGCAAGCGUUAUCCGGAUUUACUGGGUGUAAAGGGGGCGCAGACGGCGAUGCAAGCCAGGAGUGAAAGCCCGGGGCCCAACCCCGGGCCUGCUCUUGGGACUGCGUGGCUGGAGUGCA